Molecule: ribosomal RNA, 253 nt
Filed under: uncultured bacterium
Lineage: Bacteria
Description: partial 16S ribosomal RNA
Rfam family: Bacterial small subunit ribosomal RNA
Source: RNAcentral
UACGUAGGGGGCAAGCGUUGUCCGGAUUUAUUGGGCGUAAAGAGCGUGUAGGCGGCCAGACAAGUCUGCUGUGAAAACUCGAGGCUCAACCUCGAGCUGUCGGUGGAAACUGUCUGGCUAGAGUCCGGAAGAGGAGAGUGGAAUUCCUGGUGUAGCGGUGAAAUGCGCAGAUAUCAGGAAGAACACCUAUGGCGAAGGCAGCUCUCUGGGACGGUACUGACGCUGAGACGCGAAAGCGUGGGGAGCGAACAGG